CCUACGGGAGGCAGCAGUGGGGGAUAUUGCACAAUGGGGGAAACCCUGAUGCAGCGACGCCGCGUGUGGGAAGACGGUCCUCUGGAUUGUAAACCACUGUUCCCAGGGACGAAGAUGACGGUACCUGGGGUGGAAGCUCCGGCUAACUACGAGCCAGCAGCCGCGGUAAUACGCAGGAAGCGAGCGUUGUCCGGAUUUACUGGGUGUAAAGGGAGUGUAGGCGGGACUGGAAGUUGGGUGUCAAAUCUACCGGCUCAACCGGUAGCCGCACUCAAAACUGCAGGUCUUGAGUGAAGUAGAGGCAGGCGGAAUGCCUAGUGUAGCGGUGAAAUGCGUAGAUAUUGGGAAGAACACCGAUGGCGAAGGCAGCCUGCUGGGCUUUUACUGACGCUGAGGCUCGAAAGUGUGGGGAGCGAACAGGAUUAGAUACCCGAGUAGUC
This 440-nucleotide ribosomal RNA is filed under the name uncultured bacterium. RNAcentral describes it as "partial 16S ribosomal RNA". It matches the Rfam family "Bacterial small subunit ribosomal RNA", at positions 338 to 795 of the family's 1533-position model. The record is from RNAcentral.